CAGUGUUAAAAGAUCACUGAAACUGGAUGGUUUGUUAGAAGAAAAUUCAUUUGAUCCUGCAAAAAUUACGAGGAAGAAAAGUAUUACAACUUAUUCUCCAACAACUGGAACUUGUCAAAUGAGCCCAUUUGCUUCUCCCACAAGCUCUAAUGAACAAAAGCACAGAAAUGGACCAUCAAAUGACAUUUAUCAGAAGUUGUUAUAUGUAAGACACAGAGAAUCUUUGUGCUUUUGUUCGGGAUGG
Molecule: non-coding RNA, 244 nt
Organism: Manis javanica (Malayan pangolin)
Lineage: Eukaryota; Metazoa; Chordata; Mammalia; Pholidota; Manidae
Source: RefSeq, a predicted model, not a curated record